This 576-nucleotide ribosomal RNA is filed under the name bacterium enrichment culture. RNAcentral's name for it is "bacterial SSU rRNA". It matches the Rfam family "Bacterial small subunit ribosomal RNA", at positions 22 to 595 of the family's 1533-position model. The record is from RNAcentral.
GCUCAGAUUGAACGCUGGCGGCAUGCCUUACACAUGCAAGUCGAACGGUAACAGGUCUUCGGAUGCUGACGAGUGGCGAACGGGUGAGUAAUACAUCGGAACGUGCCCGAGAGUGGGGGAUAACGAAGCGAAAGCUUUGCUAAUACCGCAUACGAUCUCAGGAUGAAAGCAGGGGACCGCAAGGCCUUGCGCUCACGGAGCGGCCGAUGGCAGAUUAGGUAGUUGGUGGGAUAAAAGCUUACCAAGCCGACGAUCUGUAGCUGGUCUGAGAGGACGACCAGCCACACUGGGACUGAGACACGGCCCAGACUCCUACGGGAGGCAGCAGUGGGGAAUUUUGGACAAUGGGCGCAAGCCUGAUCCAGCCAUGCCGCGUGCAGGAUGAAGGCCUUCGGGUUGUAAACUGCUUUUGUACGGAACGAAAAGACUCUGGUUAAUACCUGGGGUCCAUGACGGUACCGUAAGAAUAAGCACCGGCUAACUACGUGCCAGCAGCCGCGGUAAUACGUAGGGUGCGAGCGUUAAUCGGAAUUACUGGGCGUAAAGCGUGCGCAGGCGGUUAUGUAAGACAGAUGU